CUGACACAGCCAGCGACCUUUCCCUUACAUUCAACUAUUUUUAGCUCUAAUGCCAUCCUCCUCACGUGAAACUCUUUGCCUCCCCCCACCCCCAUCGUUGUCCCCAACCCUUGGGGCUCCCAGAUCUUCAAGCACCCUUCAGUCUGCAGGAACUACCCACCUGAUUCCCACCGUGGAAGGGGAGUUUCUGGUUCCGCCCUGCAUCUAUUCUCUCGACCCCAAUUUGGGAGUGGGUGUCAGAUUCCCGGUAAGGGCGGGGUAUCGGUGGCCAAGCCUGAAGGACGAGGGGACAUGGGCCAGAGUGGCCAGCCCCAUACACUGACAGGACCGAACCUGAGCUGUGAGUAGGGACCAGAAAAGGGCGGCCAAGCCCCCCACUCGGCCCCUAGCCCAGCUCGGGAACCAAGCCGGUGCUGAAGUCCAGAGUUGGGGGCGCCUGGAACCCGGCUCUGUCCAGGCCGACUCCGCUUCCCAGGACGCUUCUCCCAAGCCCAAGGCCGCCCUUCGCUGCCCUUGGGGUUCCUGGCGCUUUCAUGGCCCGGACCCACGUCCUUCACCCUCAUAGCUAGGCCAGUCCGAACGUGCGCGCGGGUUCCGCGGCAGUUGGCGGGGCUGGGAGAGCCCGCCCGGGGGGCGCGGGCCUCCGAGGCCACCAGUGGGGUGGGG
RNAcentral lists this long non-coding RNA (666 nucleotides) under Marmota monax (woodchuck). Lineage: Eukaryota; Metazoa; Chordata; Mammalia; Rodentia; Sciuridae. The record is from RNAcentral.